This is a long non-coding RNA of Paramormyrops kingsleyae, 618 nucleotides long. RefSeq lists it as uncharacterized. The record is from RefSeq and is a predicted model, not a curated record. Lineage: Eukaryota; Metazoa; Chordata; Actinopteri; Osteoglossiformes; Mormyridae.
CCCACCAAGGGGGGAUUAUUUUGUCCAAUGGCACCUUUAUCAGAGCCUAGUACAAUCACUGUGAAUUGCAGAAGCCAGCAGAAGAUGAGGACAUUGUCACGGCAGGUGAAAUGCCGUAUCUUGAUGUUCAAACACUUACUGUCUGGAUGAAUUCAAAGUGCCCCCCCUGCUGGUGGAAGUUGAGGGGCUGGCGGUUGCGCAUCCAGAGGAUGCUGACAUCCAAGGAGGGGUCAUGGACGGCCUUGCAGGAACUGGAGGCUUUUUGCCAGGAAGAAUGGGCAGCUUUACCAUCUGAGAAGGUAAAGAGCCUCAUCCACAACUACCACAAAAGACUUCAAGCUGUCAUUGAUGUUAAAGGGCGCCAAUACACGGUACUAAGAACUGGGGUAUGUAAACUUUUGAUCAGGGUCAUUUCGGUAGUUUCUGUUCUCAUUAUGAUUUUAAAAAAAGUAAACACAGUUGUUUGACAAUAAAUGGCUUCAGCCAGCCACUAACCAUGAGUGAAAGGAAAGUUUUUGUGUUAUCAUUCAUAUUCUCUAAAAAAUGGUUCAGAAAUCAUAAAUUCUGCCAGGGUAUGUAAACAUAUGAGCACAACUGUAUUUACACAGCCUGUAUUUU